RNAcentral lists this ribosomal RNA (464 nucleotides) under uncultured bacterium. RNAcentral describes it as "partial 16S ribosomal RNA". It matches the Rfam family "Bacterial small subunit ribosomal RNA", at positions 339 to 795 of the family's 1533-position model. The record is from RNAcentral.
CUACGGGACGCUGCAGUGGGGAAUAUUGCACAAUGCGCGCAAGCCUGAUGCAGCCAUGCCGCGUGUAUGAAGAAGGCCUUCGGGUUGUAAAGUACUUUCAGCGGGGAGGAAGGGAGUAAAGUUAAUACCUUUGCUCAUUGACGUUACCCGCAGAAGAAGCACCGGCUAACUCCGUGCCAGCAGCCGCGGUAAUACGGAGGGUGCAAGCGUUAAUCGGAAUUACUGAGCGUAAAGCGCACGCAGGCGGUUUGUUAAGUCAGAUGUGAAAUCCCCGGGCUCAACCUGGGAACUGCAUCUGAUACUGGCAAGCUUGAGUCUCGUAGAGGGGGGUAGAAUUCCAGGUGUAGCGGUGAAAUGCGUAGAGAUCUGGAGGAAUACCGGUGGCGAAGGCGGCCCCCUGGACGAAGACUGACGCUCAGGUGCGAAAGCGUGGGGAGCAAACAGGAUUAGAUACCCCGGUAGUC